ACUAUCGUUAACUGAAUACAUAGGUUAACGAGGCGAACCGGGGGAACUGAAACAUCUAAGUACCCCGAGGAAAAGAAAUCAACCGAGAUUCCCCCAGUAGCGGCGAGCGAACGGGGAGCAGCCCAGAGUCUGAAUCAGCUUGUGUGUUAGUGGAACGGUCUGGAAAGUCCGACGGUACAGGGUGAUAGUCCCGUACACCAAAAUGCACAGGCUGUGAACUCGAAGAGUAGGGCGGGACACGUGGUAUCCUGUCUGAAUAUGGGGGGACCAUCCUCCAAGGCUAAAUACUCCUGACUGACCGAUAGUGAACCAGUACCGUGAGGGAAAGGCGAAAAGAACCCCGGCGAGGGGAGUGAAAAAGAACCUGAAACCGUGUACGUACAAGCAGUGGGAGCACCUUCGGGUGUGACUGCGUACCUUUUGUAUAAUGGGUCAGCGACUUAUAUUCUGUAGCAAGGUUAACCGUAUAGGGGAGCCGCAGGGAAACCGAGUCUUAACUGGGCGUUAAGUUGCAGGGUAUAGACCCGAAACCCGGUGAUCUAGCCAUGGGCAGGUUGAAGGUUGGGUAACACUAACUGGAGGACCGAACCGACUAAUGUUGAAAAAUUAGCGGAUGACUUGUGGCUGGGGGUGAAAGGCCAAUCAAACCGGGAGAUAGCUGGUUCUCCCCGAAAGCUAUUUAGGUAGCGCCUCGUGAACUCAUCUUCGGGGGUAGAGCACUGUUUCGGCUAGGGGGUCAUCCCGACUUACCAACCCGAUGCAAACUACGAAUACCGAAGAAUGUUAUCACGGGAGACACACGGCGGGUGCUAACGUCCGUCGUGAAGAGGGAAACAACCCAGACCGCCAGCUAAGGUCCCAAAGUCAUGGUUAAGUGGGAAACGAUGUGGGAAGGCACAGACAGCCAGGAUGUUGGCUUAGAAGCAGCCAUCAUUUAAAGAAAGCGUAAUAGCUCACUGGUCGAGUCGGCCUGCGCGGAAGAUGUAACGGGGCUAAACCAUGCACCGAAGCUGCGGCAGCGACACUAUGUGUUGUUGGGUAGGGGAGCGUUCUGUAAGCCUGCGAAGGUGACCUGUGAGGGUUGCUGGAGGUAUCAGAAGUGCGAAUGCUGACAUAAGUAACGAUAAAGCGGGUGAAAAGCCCGCUCGCCGGAAGACCAAGGGUUCCUGUCCAACGUUAAUCGGGGCAGGGUGAGUCGACCCCUAAGGCGAGGCCGAAAGGCGUAGUCGAUGGGAAACAGGUUAAUAUUCCUGUACUUGGUGUUACUGCGAAGGGGGGACGGAGAAGGCUAUGUUAGCCGGGCGACGGUUGUCCCGGUUUAAGCAUGUAGGCUGGUUGUCCAGGCAAAUCCGGAUAAUCAAGGCUGAGGUGUGAUGACGAGGCACUACGGUGCUGAAGUAACAAAUGCCCUGCUUCCAGGAAAAGCCUCUAAGCAUCAGGUAACAUCAAAUCGUACCCCAAACCGACACAGGUGGUCAGGUAGAGAAUACCAAGGCGCUUGAGAGAACUCGGGUGAAGGAACUAGGCAAAAUGGUGCCGUAACUUCGGGAGAAGGCACGCUGGUGUGUAGGUGAAGUCCCUGCGGAUGGAGCUGAGACCAGUCGAAGAUACCAGCUGGCUGCAACUGUUUAUUAAAAACACAGCACUGUGCAAACACGAAAGUGGACGUAUACGGUGUGACGCCUGCCCGGUGCCGGAAGGUUAAUUGAUGGGGUUAUCCGUAAGGAGAAGCUCUUGAUCGAAGCCCCGGUAAACGGCGGCCGUAACUAUAACGGUCCUAAGGUAGCGAAAUUCCUUGUCGGGUAAGUUCCGACCUGCACGAAUGGCGUAAUGAUGGCCAGGCUGUCUCCACCCGAGACUCAGUGAAAUUGAACUCGCUGUGAAGAUGCAGUGUACCCGCGGCAAGACGGAAAGACCCCGUGAACCUUUACUAUAGCUUGACACUGAACAUUGAGCCUUGAUGUGUAGGAUAGGUGGGAGGCUUUGAAGCGUGGACGCCAGUCUGCGUGGAGCCAACCUUGAAAUACCACCCUUUAAUGUUUGAUGUUCUAACGUUGGCCCCUUAUCGGGGUUGCGGACAGUGUCUGGUGGGUAGUUUGACUGGGGCGGUCUCCUCCCAAAGCGUAACGGAGGAGCACGAAGGUUAGCUAAUCCUGGUCGGACAUCAGGAGGUUAGUGCAAUGGCAUAAGCUAGCUUGACUGCGAGCGUGACGGCGCGAGCAGGUGCGAAAGCAGGUCAUAGUGAUCCGGUGGUUCUGAAUGGAAGGGCCAUCGCUCAACGGAUAAAAGGUACUCCGGGGAUAACAGGCUGAUACCGCCCAAGAGUUCAUAUCGACGGCGGUGUUUGGCACCUCGAUGUCGGCUCAUCACAUCCUGGGGCUGAAGUAGGUCCCAAGGGUAUGGCUGUUCGCCAUUUAAAGUGGUACGCGAGCUGGGUUUAGAACGUCGUGAGACAGUUCGGUCCCUAUCUGCCGUGGGCGCUGGAGAAUUGAGGGGGGCUGCUCCUAGUACGAGAGGACCGGAGUGGACGCAUCACUGGUGUUCGGGUUGUCAUGCCAAUGGCACUGCCCGGUAGCUAAAUGCGGAAGAGAUAAGUGCUGAAAGCAUCUAAGCACGAAACUUGCCCCGAGAUGAGUUCU
Molecule: ribosomal RNA, 2639 nt
Filed under: Klebsiella pneumoniae
Lineage: Bacteria; Pseudomonadati; Pseudomonadota; Gammaproteobacteria; Enterobacterales; Enterobacteriaceae
Description: bacterial LSU rRNA
Rfam family: Bacterial large subunit ribosomal RNA
Source: RNAcentral